Molecule: ribosomal RNA, 4415 nt
Filed under: Triticum aestivum (bread wheat)
Lineage: Eukaryota; Viridiplantae; Streptophyta; Magnoliopsida; Poales; Poaceae
Description: partial small subunit ribosomal RNA
Source: RNAcentral
GGCAGCUGGUCGAGCCAGACGAUCGAGGUGGGACGAGAGACGCACCUCAUCGGACCAUCCGUCCUCAUGAUUAGUUUAGUUCUACCGGGACGUUAAGAUGUGUCGGCGCGCGUGUGUGGCAUCCAAUUGAUCGUUCUAAUGCCGAUCGAGAACACCGGCGAGCGCCGUUGGUGGUACUCGUGCUCGUGGUCGUGGCCGUGCUAAAAGUCAGUCAACGACGACGAGGAGGAUCAGCACGGAGGUAGGUGGCGGUGGCGGUGGUGGGUACCGGCGCGACGGACGGACGGCGCCCUCGCACUACGCGACGACCGAAAGUUCGCCCGGUAGUGGUCGCUGGGGCGCCCGGUCGAGCGGAGUACCGCCGGACCGCGCCCGCCGGUGCUCCUGACGACGGCGACCUCCCUGCAGGCCACGUCGUUGGCGUGGCCGGUACAGGAAGUCGAGGCAGAAGCGGUGUGCGUGUCGCCGCUGACGCAGUCUUAGUCGACGCGGUACGGCCGGUACCGGCCGGUCUAUUCAGGGAGGGACGAGAGGAACGUCGUGGAUCGCGUGGAACUAGAGUCGCACGUCGACGAAGUCCCCGCGUGGCCGGCGCACGGGCUCAAGGAGCCGAGAGAGUCGUUGGACUCCACAGAGCUGGAGAGGACGGACGGCGGGGUCGAGCCGUUGGAGAGGUUCAACGCGGUAGAACUGGAGAGUGUUUUGCUCCUACGGUUGGAGAGUCUCGUUGAGAUUGUCUGGGGCGUAAGCGGGGCCGGGCCUUUUAUUGGCGGUUUUACGCCCAUCCCUGCCUUUUUGGACGGGCUAGUCUGGGGCGUAUAGCGGGGCAGGCCGUUUUAGAGCCGGGGUUGGGCGCUUAUGCGCCCAAAGGAGCAGCGUCGACGCCGCGGGACGUAGUGUGUCUUCGUCAACCGCCCUCCCUGUAAAGUCGGGCGCGCGUAAAAGGGGUGGGGGGAAGGCGGCGGCUGACGGGAACGAAGGCGGGCGAGCGGCGGUCGCUAAGGCCGGUUUAGACGCCGUCUUAGCGCGGCGCCCCGGCGGGGGGUGGGAGGGCGCGGCAGUGCGACGUGGCUGGGGGCAUAGGCCGCUCUUCUCGCCGCGGGAGCAGCGACGGUGGCGGCCCCUAGCUGGUGGCAGCCCGGGCGGGGAGCAGCGGCGGACCCUAGUAGGCAGCGUAGGUGGUGGCUACCUAAACUCGGGCACGCUCUUCAAGAACGAGUGGCUAAGCUUGCUGAGUGUGCUGAGCCUACAACUCUGGUACGAACGCUUGAAAGCCGUCGUCUGUAAUCAGUACAGUGAACGGCACUUCCUCGUGCUUCUGCUCUUGGCCUUCUCUUCCACUCCUGGCUGGCAGCCCGCAGAAACGUAAGGAGCCUUAGCAGUAGAACCCUUACUCUACAACUACGUUCUGAUGAAGCGCCUCUUAGGAUGUAUAGGUGGUGUGGAGAAGGCCUCUUCCAUGGCUUACGCAGCUGGAAAGAAACACUUUUAACAAGUUCGAACGCUCCGUUUAACGGCCAUAAAAUGAGUUUCUUUCUUUACGACGUCCGAAUUUCCCUAAAUCACGUAUAGUUUUUUAGAGGCGUCGAUACGCCCACUAACGUAUACCACAAGGCCGACUGAUACAGCUACUCAUGGAAGCAUCUAAACGUUAACUCAGGCACGCAUCUAAACGUUUUCACCAGUAGGCACAGAAACCAGGACUCAUAGAAGCCCGUGGGUUGUUCCUACUGUGUUUCUUUAACUACCGUAGAUUACUCUCCUCUCCAACCGGACCGUACGAUCCAUCGUAACUAACAUACGUAACCUAUACUUUUUUAACGGGCUUCCGUACCGUUCCUUACAUAACACCGUUCAGAGCACUACGUUGUUAACACGAUCUCCGGCAUCGUAGGUUCCUAAAUACCUAAACCGUAACGAAGAAACCAUACGGCCAGUGAGGAACCACGUGUAAACAGUUCUCGUAGUUUCUUGGGUUUUGAUUUUUUGUUACACUUAAACGUUCCCACGUUCUUCGUCGGGCUUUUAUGUAACUUUCUCGCAAGGCACAAAACGUUAGAUCCAAACGGUAACAGGCACCAGGACGAGCAAAAAACCCUAUUCUUUUGGAACUUUUUAUAGUACUGUACGACACAAUAGGAAAUGUUAUACUAAGAACUUCUACUCUCUCCUUACUUGAACCUUAAGAAGAUGCCGUUACACCCAUCGGCACAGUUUGGUCGAUCUCUGGGAUUGGUGUAAUCUCGAAAAGAAGUCUGUAUGUUCCUCUAACUUUUACGUCUGUGUGUAAAAGUUGAAAUCCUCCUAGAGUAACUCGUGGUAACCGUUUCCCAACCUGCCACUGAGGAAAAACAUAAGUAAACAUAAACAUGAGUAGUGUUCAAAACAUAACGUAAUAAAUUAUAAACUUAUUAAUAAACAUUACACCUACUAACAACAUAACCCAACUUAAACUUAUUAAUAAAUCAAACGAAGGUAAACAACAUAAUACAACCUAAACUAUAAAACGCCCGGCUACUCUACGCCUUUCGUCGCCACGUUCUCGUCUGUGGCGUUUCGGCUGGACAUAUUUUCGUAUAAGCCGCUUAUAUGAAAAUAUGCCCAGGCAAACCCCCUAGAUGUAGACGCUGGCAGGAACGGCCGGGCGUUUUCGGCAAAAGGCGUUUGACGUUUGCGCAAAACGUCCGGCCGCCCUACACCCCAGAUGAUCUCAACGAGAAUCUUUCGGCACGGGGGUGUAUGAGGCGUCUAUAGAGUACCGACCGAGCAGACGGUAACAACGCCAUGGAGUUGUACGUCGUUCAUCUGGAGGCCUACCACCAGCUAAACCGGAGUACAACAGUUGUACUAAGGAAGAGACCCUCCCGAACUGGAGCGUCUUACGAGUGAGGUCUCGCGUUUGGUCAGCGAGAGUGUGGAGUUGGAGCGUUUGGAGCUCCUCGAACUGGAGAGGAAGUUACUGAAACCGGUUGGUUAACGUAGAACAACCAAGACGCUGACGCUCGCCGCCCCAAACGCGGCUUGGCUCGGCAGAUCAGUUCACCUGGUGUAGGGGAACAAACCAACUAAGGGCGACGAGGGCAGCAUCUAACUAGAUAUGACUGUACAAGAACAAACAAGGGAGAGGAAAGAAGAACAACCGUCCCGACGACGUAGACCAAACGAGAGAUGAACACGCAGACGGACUAGGAAGAAACACUCUACACUACCCCAUUAUGGUUAAACGCGGGCGACUUCUUGUUGCUACGACGCCCUCCCCUCUCUCUGCCCCUUCGGGGACACUACCGGCUUCGUUUCCAAGGGGUUGCUCAACCAACGAGUAAUGGUAGGCAACUCAUGAACUAGAUUAGUCUCUCCGCUACCACACGUGACCUCCUUUGAUUUCCAACUCAUGAACUAGAUUAGUCUCUCCGCUACCACACGUGACCUCCGUUGAUUUCCUUACCCACUUGGUUCCCUUUAUUGUAGCCACAAGAUUCUAUAAGACUCUAAUCGGAACUAUCGACCUACAGGAACACGUACUGUAAAAUCUUAAGGGCCUCACGCUUCGCACAAUGAUGCUCAGAGAUCCAAAGCGCCUAGCAGUCGUUCCUACGGCCUCUACUUCUUGUUCAAACGCGUUGGUCUGCUCCUAUGUGGAAAACCUGCGGUGAACUUCCUUCAGUGAUCUAUGAACUCGUAACCCUAUGGGUCAAAGUAGCCCUGCAUGUUACGGUGGGAUGGUCUUCUCCUCGCGACCUACUAAGUUCAUGUUCAUGGUCCUUCCUGCAAAAGCGGUUGAAAAUUUGGGUAUCUUAAAAGAAAGCUACGUGGUUGGACCUCGGAUCCGUUCUCGUACCGUCGAGUGUAAUGGUACCCUGCGUAACCUCUUCAGAUGAUAUUCCUUGAGUUCCUGUGGUAGAUAGUUUAUACACCUGCGGCUCUGCUCGUUACCCUCUACUAGUCGUGGUUCUUCCUAUCUAGGUAACGUCGAAAAUAGGUCCUCGUUUUGGUCGUGUAAGCUGCUGUCCUCUUGGUCUACACGCGUCUGUACUACCUCAACUUCUUCCGUUUCUGAUCCUAGUAGCUCGACCUCCUUCUUGAGUUCAAGUGGGUGCUGCCUAUACUCCUCCUUUAGUUCUGUGAUGACCUCUUCUUGCUGCAGAACCAAUUCUUCUAGCCUCAUAAGUACCCUCUUGGUCGUGGUCUUCUGCUUCUACUGCUGGGGUGAACGGGCCUGUUGAUGUAGUAGUAGCUGCUGUGACUAAGACUAGGAUCACUACUACUAAUACUUCUACUUCGACUUCGGCUGUAAUACCUUAGAAGGUGGCUAGUUUUAAAAAUCUACUGGUGGUAUAUGAUCAUCAUAAAAAAGGGUACAUUAUCUAGUGAAAACGCGAUCAAGAUCUAGCAACAUUCGGGAACGAACUAACUAA